CAGUCGCCGCGGGAAUACGUAGGGUGCAAGCGUUAAUCGGAAUUACUGGGCGUAAAGCGUGCGCAGGCGGUUUUGUAAGUCUGUCGUGAAAGCCCCGGGCUCAACCUGGGAAUGGCAAUGGAUACUGGCGAGCUAGAGUGUGUCAGAGGAUGGUGGAAUUCCCGGUGUAGCGGUGAAAUGCGUAGAGAUCGGGAGGAACAUCAGUGGCGAAGGCGGCCAUCUGGGGCAACACUGACGCUGAGGCACGAAAGCGUGGGGAGCAAACAGGAUUAGAUACCCCCUAGUCCCUGUCUCUUAUACC
This 301-nucleotide ribosomal RNA is filed under the name uncultured bacterium. Its description in RNAcentral is "partial 16S ribosomal RNA". It matches the Rfam family "Bacterial small subunit ribosomal RNA", at positions 509 to 808 of the family's 1533-position model. The record is from RNAcentral.